This 468-nucleotide ribosomal RNA is filed under the name uncultured bacterium. RNAcentral describes it as "partial 16S ribosomal RNA". It matches the Rfam family "Bacterial small subunit ribosomal RNA", at positions 28 to 507 of the family's 1533-position model. The record is from RNAcentral.
GACGAACGCUGGCGGCGUGCUUAACACAUGCAAGUCGAACGGAAAGGCCCUGCUUUUGUGGGGUGCUCGAGUGGCGAACGGGUGAGUAACACGUGAGUAACCUGCCCUUGACUUUGGGAUAACUUCAGGAAACUGGGGCUAAUACCGGAUAGGAGCUCCUGCUGCAUGGUGGGGGUUGGAAAGUUUCGGCGGUUGGGGAUGGACUCGCGGCUUAUCAGCUUGUUGGUGGGGUAGUGGCUUACCAAGGCUUUGACGGGUAGCCGGCCUGAGAAGGUGACCGGCCACAUUAGGACUAAGAUACGGCCCAGACUCCUACGGGAGGCAGCAGUGGGGAGUAUUACACAAUAGGCGGAAGCCUGAUGCAGCAACGCCGCGUGCGUAAUGACGGCCUUCGGGUUGUAAACCGCUUUCGCCUGUGACGAAGCGUGAGUGACGGUAAUGGGUAAAGAAGCACCGGCUAACUACGUG